This 72-nucleotide transfer RNA is filed under the name Ovis aries (sheep). It matches the Rfam family "tRNA". From Rfam's summary of the family: Transfer RNA (tRNA) molecules are approximately 80 nucleotides in length. Their secondary structure includes four short double-helical elements and three loops (D, anti-codon, and T loops). Further hydrogen bonds mediate the characteristic L-shaped molecular structure. tRNAs have two regions of fundamental functional importance: the anti-codon, which is responsible for specific mRNA codon recognition, and the 3' end, to which the tRNAs corresponding amino acid is attached (by aminoacyl-tRNA synthetases). tRNAs cope with the degeneracy of the genetic code in two manners: having more than one tRNA (with a specific anti-codon) for a particular amino acid; and 'wobble' base-pairing, i.e. permitting non-standard base-pairing at the 3rd anti-codon position. The record is from Rfam by way of RNAcentral. Lineage: Eukaryota; Metazoa; Chordata; Mammalia; Artiodactyla; Bovidae.
UCCCUGGUGGCUCAAUGGUAAAGCAUUUGCCUGCCAGUGCAGAAAACAGGGGUUCAAUCCCCGAUCCGGGAG